RNAcentral lists this ribosomal RNA (230 nucleotides) under uncultured bacterium. Its description in RNAcentral is "partial 16S ribosomal RNA". It matches the Rfam family "Bacterial small subunit ribosomal RNA", at positions 563 to 791 of the family's 1533-position model. The record is from RNAcentral.
AAGCGUGCGCAGGCGGUUAUGUAAGACAGAUGUGAAAUCCCCGGGCCUCAACCUGGGAACUGCAUUAGUGACUGCAUAGCUGGAGUACGGCAGAGGGGUAUGGAAUUCCGCGUGUAGCAGUGAAAUGCGUAGAUAUGCGGAGGAACACCGAUGGCGAAGGCAAUCCCCUGGGCCUGUACUGACGCUCAUGCACGAAAGCGUGGGGAGCAAACAGGAUUAGAUACCCUUGU